GACGAACGCUGGCGGCGUGCUUAACACAUGCAAGUCGAACGGAAAGGCCCUGCUUUUGUUGGGUGCUCGAGUGGCGAACGGGUGAGUAACACGCGAGUAACCUGUCCCUGACUUAGGGAUAACUUCAGGAAACUGGGGCUCAUACCGGUUAGGAGCUCCUGCUGCAUGGUGGUGGAUGGAAAGUUUCGGUGGUUGGGGAUGGACUCGCGGCUUACCAGCUUGUUGGUGAAGUAGUCGCUUACCAAGGCUUCGACGGGUAGCCGGUCUGAGAGGGGGACCGGCCCCAUUGGGACUGAGAUACGGCCCGGACUCCUGCGGGAGGCAGCAGUGGGGAAUAUUGCACAAUGGGCGGAAGCCUGAUGCAGCAACGCCGCGUGCGGGAUGAUGGCCUUCGGGUUGUAAACCACUUUCGCAUGUGACGAAGCGUGAGUGACGGUAAUGGAUAAAGAAGCACCGGCUAACUACGUG
RNAcentral lists this ribosomal RNA (468 nucleotides) under uncultured bacterium. RNAcentral describes it as "partial 16S ribosomal RNA". It matches the Rfam family "Bacterial small subunit ribosomal RNA", at positions 28 to 507 of the family's 1533-position model. The record is from RNAcentral.